AGUAAAGGGGGUGCAGAAAAUAAAACGAAAAGGAUUUGGGCCUUGGGUGAGGCCAGGCGCGUGUGGGCCUGGAAUAGACCGGUUCAGACCGGUUCCAAGAUUGAACCGGUUCAGUCUAGCGUUAUAAAUAGGUAGGCACCGGUUUUUUUAUUCAUUUUCACUUCAAACUUCUCUCUCUUCUCUUAUUUCUAGAGAGAGAGGCUCUGCCUUCUCUCUAGAAUCCUUCAUCUUCUCCGAUGAGAAGAGAGGUGGCCGGAGGCGGUUCCGGCGCGGUGGCCGGUGAGUUUUCACGGCGGCGCCAUCGCGCCGGAGUCAAAAACUCCUCUUUUUUUGAUUUUUUUUUACCAAAAGAUUAACCUUUCCUUUCUCCUUUCUUUUUUGAAAACGUUUUUAUGAAAUGAGCUUUAACGGACCCUAGAUCUACAAAAAGGGUUACUACCUUUUUAUUGUUUUUUUUUUCUUGAUCUGGAUCUGUGUUGGUUUGGUGGUGGUGUUUCACGGUUUUGAUGGUUGUGAAUGGGGUUUGAUUUGAGUAUGAUGGUUUGGAAUUAGGAUUGUGGAUACGUGAUUCUGAUGUUGUGUGCGUGAUUGAUGCUUAGUUGAUGCGUUUGGGUUUCUGUGAAGAUUUGAAUCGAAAGAGGUUGAAUGAAAAUUGUUUUGUUGGAAAGUUGAUUAGGGCUGGAAUUUUGUUAGUUGGUAGUGUGUGUUUGCUGGAAAAUUGUUCUCUGUAUUUUUAGUUUAUUGCUAUUUUUUUGCUGUUGGGCCCCCUCCCUUUGUCUGUGUGCAGGUGGUUAUAUUUAUAGAGCUGAAUUUCUGCUGCUUGGAGAGGAACACGAUAUUUUGUUGCUUGGAGAAGAAAUUGACAGUUGUGAAUGAGCUGUUUAUUUGGAUAUUAUCGGACAAAAUUUUGAUUUAUUUUUUUGGACAUUAAAAAUAAAAUAAAAGGACUAAGAAUAAAUAAAACAAAAAUAAGAUAAAAUAAAGGUUAAAAAUGAAAUGAAUUUAAAGUUAAUAAAAGAUGGAAAUUAAAAUUAAAUGAAAAUUGAGAGAAGAGGGCCCGACUCGGAAUCAACUAUGAGGUAUUUUAAAAUACCUCCCUGCCGAAUUUUUUGCUCGAAAGGCUGAGACCGGUCGGAGUUAAAUGACACGUGUCAGUGCUGUCUUAGGUCAAAAAUUGGGAUAUGACAGAUGCCCCUAUUUAAGUUUCUUCGUCCGGAGAUUCAAAGAUGGAAUCUUUGAAUUGACAGGUCGAAGAGACUUAAAUACAGAGUACACCAUUUUUGACCUAAGAUGCUAUGAAUGCAUUCGAUGUAAUUACGAAUGCAUGUGAGGCAAUCAUGAAUGCAGGACGACAUAGAUGGCUUGACAGGAAUGAGAAACAACAAUGGGAUACCCGAAUUCGCUGAAGAAAGGGAUCCGACUCCGCUAGGGGAAUGUAGUUUCACUGGGGAAAAUACUGUCAGUUAUUGUAUUGGUUUGAAAUUGAAAUUGAAAAUUGACUAGUGACAUUAGUGGCACAACUAUGCUGGGAAUGACACUUUUGAAACUGAAAUUGAUUAGUGACAUCAGUGGCACAGCUACCGCUGGGGAUGACACUUUUUGAAUUUGAAUUUGAAAUUGAAAUUGAUUAGUGACAUGGCUAGCACGGCUUUAUGCCGGGUAUGACACUUUUGAAAUGAGUUCAAGCUGUCCUUUUGUCAGAAACUAGCCACUUGAAUUUGACAAAAAAUAGAUUCAAGCUGUCCUUUUGUCGGAAACUUGCCGCUUGAAAUUGGAUGAAAAUAGGUUCAAGCUGUCCUUUUGUAGGAAACUUGCCGCUUGAAAUUGACUGAAAAUAGAUUCAAGCUGUCCUUUUGUCAGGAACUUGCCGCUUGAAAUUGAUUGAUUCGUGACAUCUCUUGACCAGACACACUGGGGAUGACACCUUUGAUGUAAAUGAUGAUUACAAGCUGUUCAUUUGUUAGAACUUGCCACUUGACAUAAUGAUGAAACGAGGACCGAACUGAGGGGAUAUUAUUGAACAAAACUUUGUGCGAUUGAUGCAACCACGUACGAAUGAUGCGAUUCAUAUGUUGUAUAAGAAUGUAUGAAAGUGUUGAUGCAUGGAUGUAUGGGUGUAUGAAUGUAUUAACGUCCGAAAGCAUGAAUGUAUUUAUUGUAUAUGAUAGAUGGACUCGAUGAGACAAGACAAGAUUUGGUAAGGUGGAAAGUGGACUGACAUCACAGUACUAUACACUCGGCAAACUUCCUUGGAGAUGACCUCAUUGGGGACAAAGUAUCAAACAUAUGCCUUAUGGGGACGAAACCCAUUAAAAGUCUGGAAAAAGUCGCCAUUUGUAAGCUGAUACAUAAUGUUCUUCCAUUGACACACUUCCGUCGUUGUGCCCUCUUUUUUUGAAUUUUCAACAGCGUCCAAUCAUGCUUGUCUGGUGGGGUCUAAUCAUUCUUGGAGGAACGUGCUGACGCAUGCUUCUUUCACUCUCAAAUCCUAAUAUGUACUUGUGCAUUUAUGCCUUUUUAAAAGACAUGGAAAAAAGUUUUUUUUUUUAAGAGUUCUACUUCAAAAUAUUAUCAUCAAACAAUGGAAAGAACUUUAAAAAUAGAAUAAAAGGGGAAUUUCAAACAGAAGGGCCAUAGGCUCGAAUAUUAUUGAUUCGAAUGACAGCCUGCAGAUGACAUGACUUCAUGGAUUUUUUUUUACAAAAUUUGAAAAAAAUGGUAAUUUUAAAAUGGGAAGGUACAUUGAACUUCAUAACCCCAUUCCCCCUUACAACUCUUGAAUUUUGCUGCUUUUGAUGCCUCAGAUUUGGAGAUUCUUUGAUAGUAGACAUGCCCCAAGUGGAUUGUGCCUGACUGGAUGCAGUUACUUUGUCUUUUUCUUUUUAUCCUUAACUUUUGCAUAGACCGCCCUUUCGGGUUUUUAGCCUACCAGGAUAAUGAUUUCUGUUUAAUGUCUCUAAUUUUUGCUUGAGCCGCCCUUUCGGGUUUUCAGCCCACCGAGACGCUCAUUUUUGCCUAAGCCGCCCUUUUCGGGUUUUCGACUUACCGAGCUGUUCUUAUAACUUUUAGACAAAGUAUUUUUUGACUGCGUCUGUGUUCACAGGACGUGGAAGUUCUUCACCAUCCAUGGUUUGAAGAGUCAUGGCACCGCCUGAGUAAGCUUUCUUGACAACAUACGGGCCUUCAUAGUUAGGCGUCCACUUGCCCCUAGAGUCGGGUUGGAAAGUCAAGAUCUUUUUGAGCACAAGAUCACCUUCUUUGAAUUCACGGGGAUGAACUUUCUUGUCAAAAGCCUGCUUCAUCCUCUUUUGAUACAGCUGACCAUGACAAAGAGCAGACAUGCGCUUUUCUUCGAUCAGAUUCAAUUGGUCAUACCUACUUUGAACCCACUCAGCCUCUGAUAAUUCAGCCUCCAUUAAAACUCGUAUUGAAGGAAUCUCAACUUCUAUGGGAAGUAUUGCCUCCAUGCCAUAUACCAAAGAGAAAGGGGUUGCCCCUGUUGAUGUGCGUAUAGAAGUACGAUAUCCAUGUAAUGCAAAGGGAAGCAUCUCAUGCCAAUCUUUAUAAGUCACCACCAUCUUCUGGAUGAUUUUCUUUAUAUUUUUGUUUGCAGCUUCGACAGCACCAUUCAUCUGAGGUCUGUAAGGCGAAGAAUUAUGGUGUUCGAUCUUGAAAUCAUCACACAAUUCUUUCAUCAUCUUGUUGUUCAGAUUCGUCCCAUUAUCUGUAAUGAUCCGGCUAGGGACACCAUAGCGGCAAAUAAUAUGAUUCUUGAUAAACUUGACUACCACCUGCUUGGUCACAUUAGCAUAAGAUGCAGCUUCAACCCACUUGGUGAAAUAGUCAAUAGCCACUAGAAUGAAGCGGUGUCCAUUUGAAGCUUUGGGUUCAAUUCUUCCAAUCAUGUCAAUGCCCCACAUAGAGAAUGGCCACGGGGAGGAAAGGACAUUGAGUGCAGUUGGCGGUACAUGAAUCCUAUCGGCAUAGAUUUGACAUUUAUAACACUUCCUGGCAUGCUUGUAACAAUCAGCUUCCAUUGUCAUCCAGUAAUAGCCUGCUCUCAACAUCUUCUUGGCCAUUGUAUGUCCGCUAGAAUGAGUUCCGAAGGAUCCUUCGUGUAUUUCAUGCAUCAAUAAGUCUGCCUCAUGUUUGUCAACACAUCUGAGCAACACCAUGUCGAAGUUUCUUUUAUAUAAAAUGUCCCCGUUCAGGAAGAAAUUGCCAGACAAUCUUCUUAGAGUCUUCUUGUCUUUACUGGAUGCUCCAAGUGGAUACUCUUGCCUUUGAAGGAAACAUUUGAUAUCGUGGAACCAUGGCUUGUCAUCAACAACUUCUUCAGUGGCGAAUACAUGAGCGGGUCUUUCAAGACGUCUGAUAUGGAUCAGUGGCACUUCAUUCCGACGAUUUACUUGGUACAUUGAAGACAAAGUAGCCAGAGCAUCCGCCAUCUGGUUCUCAUCACGAGGAAUAUGGUGUAGCUCGACUUUGUUGAAGAAGGUCAGUAAUCGUCUUGCAUAGUCUUUGUAGGGAACCAAGCCGGGGUGACGAGUCUCCCAUUCUCCUGUGAUUUGAUUGAUUACAAGGGCUGAGUCACCAUAAAUGUCGAGGUUCUUGAUUCUCAGAUCGAUGGCUUCUUCGAUACCCAUGAUACAUGCUUCGUACUCUGCCAUGUUGUUUGUACAGUCGAACGUCAACCUGGCAGUGAAGGGGAUGUGUGCACCUUUAGGAGUAACAAUGAUUGCCCCAAUUCCGCUACCAUAAACAUUAACAGCUCCGUCGAAUAUUAGACCCCAUUUUGAUUCAGGAUCUGGACCUUCCCCGAGUAGCGGUUCGUCACAAUCUUUCAUCUUCAAAUACAUAAUCUCUUCAUCAGGAAAGUCGAACUUGAUGGGCUGAUAGUCUUCAAUUGGUUGGUGAGCCAAGUGAUCAGCAAGGAUACUGCCUUUGAUUGCUUUCCGGGAACGGUACUCAAUAUCAUAUUCGGAUAAUAACAUCUGCCACCGGGCAAUUCUUCCUGUCAAAGCGGGUUUCUCAAAGAUGUACUUGAUCGGAUCCAUCCUAGAUAUCAACCAAGUAGUAUGACUAAUCAUAUAGUGACGGAGGCGUUUGGCGGCCCAGGCUAGUGCGCAACAGGUCUUCUCGACCAUGGAAUAGCGAGAUUCACAAUCGGUAAACUUCUUGCUCAAAUAAUAAAUGGCAUGCUCCUUUCUUCCAGUUUCGUCUUGUUGUCCGAGCACACAACCCAUGGAAUCUUCUAGUACAGUCAGGUACAUGAUUAGUGGUCUUCCUUCAACUGGAGGGAUGAGAAUCGGAGGUUCUAGUAAGUACGCUUUGAUGCUAUCAAAAGCUUUCUGGCAAUCUUCUGUCCAAUCAAUCCCUUGAUCCUUGCGGAGGAGUUUGAAUAUCGGCCCACAUGUUGCAGUCAUAUAAGAAAUGAAACGGGAGAUGUAGUUCAGUCGUCCGAGAAACCCCCUUACUUGUUUUUCUGUUUGCGGAGCUGGCAUCUCUCUGAUGGCUUUGACCUUGUCUGGAUCUACUUCAAUACCUUUCUGACUAACAAUGAAGCCCAGAAGCUUUCCGGAUCUAACACCAAAAGUACACUUGUUGGGAUUCAGACGAAGUCUGUACUUUCUUAGCCGUUGGAACAUCUUUAGCAAAUACUCAACAUGUUGUUCUUCAGUGAUUGACUUGACGAUCAUGUCAUCCACAUAAACCUCAAUCUCUUUGUGUAUCAUGUUGUGAAAGAUAGUAGUCAUACCCCUUUGAUAAGUAGCCCCUGCAUUGAUCAAACCGAACGGCAUCACUCUGUAACAGAAAGUGCCCCAAGGUGUGAUGAAAGACGUCUUCUCUUUGUCUUCGGGCGCCAUCUUGAUCUGAUUGUAACCGGAGAAACCAUCCAUGAAGGAGAACACUUUGGAUUUUGCAGUGUUGUCAACCAGUACAUCAAUAUGAGGUAAUGGAAAAUCAUCUUUGGGACUAGCUUUGUUAAGGUCACGGUAAUCAACACACAUUCUGACUUUGCCAUCCUUCUUCGGAACAGACACUAUGUUGGCUAGCCAUUGAGGGUAUUUUGAUGUAACGAGGAAACCUGCAUCGAUCUGUUUUUGCACUUCCUCUUUGAUCUUGAGGGCCAUAUCAGGACGGGUUCUUCUCAAUUUCUGCUUGACCGGCGGACAUUCGGGCUUCAAAGGCAAAUGGUGUACCACAAUAUCAGUAUCCAGACCUGGCAUAUCUCGGUACGACCAAGCGAACACAUCAACAUAUUCUUUGAGAAGCUCUAUCACUCGCUUCUUGACACUUACCUCAAGUGAUGCCCCAAUCUUGACCUCCUUCUUGUCUUCUUCGGUACCCAAGUUGAUUGCUUCUAAUUCUUCCUCAUAAGGCUGAAUGGUCUUUCUUUCUUGUUCAAGUAGCCGGGAGAUUUCGUCGGGAAUCUCUUCAUUCUCUUCUUCUUCCGCCUCAUAUACAGGGAACUCAAAGUUGGGAGAGAUCAUAGGGCUAUGUUGUUCAACGGGUUCAUUGGGUUUUAAUCUGCAUAUAUGAUUGAUGAUUUAAGUAAGUGCAGAUUUUUAGAAGGUGAUUAUAUUUUCGGUUUUUUGUAUUACCAUUUUUUCUAAAAACAUAAAAGAAAGCAAGGCAAAAGGUCGGGAACAAAACGACAUUUUUAUUUGAUUGAUGAUAAAUUUUUGAAGCAAAAAACCCUAGAUAGAUUCACUUUCGCUUGGGGCGGGGCGAAAGAAUUUUCUUUAAAAAAGCAUAAAAGACGAAACAAAGUGCAUUACUUGGAUAAAUGAGCAAUAAAAGGAACGUCUACAGCAACCCAAUUGUGGCUAGACCCUCCUUGUGUCACAAAGCUUCGUGGCACUCUUUCGAGAUUAUCUUCAAUGAUUGCAUGAAUGAACCCAGAACUGUGGAAAGUACCUCUGAUCGGUUCGACAACGAUCUUAGGCUUGGACAAAUCAGCUGAUGGGCAGAAACCCAGUCCUUCUCGGCGCUUGUUCUCUGGCAGUUCUAUCAACUUUCCCCAGCUGGGAGAGCCUCCAGCUUGUAUCACUUUUUGAGCAUCUUUUAGAGAAGAGAUAGAUGCCUCACUCCUCUUUGUAUUCUCUUCCUCUAUGGCAAGUCCUUGAAAAGAUGUCCCUUCAACGCUAUCGGCUCCGAUGAAGGAGAAAGACGAUAAAUGACUUACUAAUAAAGCUUCUUCACCAUUUACCGUUACCAGCUUCCCAUUCUUCACAAACUUUAACUUCUGAUGCAAGGUAGACGUUACUGCCCCCGCUUCAUGAAUCCAGGGUCGGCCUAGUAAACAGCUGUAGGAUGCUUGGAUGUCCAUCACUUGAAAAGUAAUCUGGAAAUCCUGUGGCCCAAUUGUAAUAGGCAGAACCACCUCUCCGAGAACAUUCUUCCUUGAACCAUCAAAAACUUUCACCAUUACUCCACUUUGUCUCAAAGGUGUACCCUUGUAAGUAAGUUGAUCAUAGGUCGUUUUGGCCAUUACAUUUAACGAUGACCCGGUAUCUACCAACACAUUUGACAAAGCAUCAGUCUUGCAGUUCACAGAUAUAUGCAAUGCCAAAUUAUGGUUCCUUCCUUCCUCUGGGAGCUCUUCGUCACUGAAACUCAGAUUGUUUCAUGCAGUGAUAUUCCCCACUAUUCCAUCGAAUUGUCCCACAGUCACAUCAUGGUCUACAAAAGCUUGCUCCAAGACUUUCAUCAAAGCUCCCUUAUGAGCCUCAGAAUUCAGCAAUAAAGACAUUAUGGAUAUUUUUGACGGAGUCUGCAUCAGUUGAUCAACCACCUUGUACUCACUUUUCUUUAUCAGCUUGAGAAUCUCAUCAAAAUCAGAACAUGACUUGGUCUCGCUAGUCUGACCCACAUCUUUGAUUGCACCGGAAUCUUUAGUUCGAGUUUCUUCAGUUACCGGAGCGUCAACUUUCUUUGGAAACACUAGAGGGAUAACACGCCCAUUCCUCAAUACUCUACUAUCUUCGGCAAUAUUUUCCACAGAAGGCAAAGGUGGUAUUGGAACUUCACGACCACCUUCUAUCAUAGUGGCAUUGUACUUGUAAGGAAUUGCCUUCUCAGAAGUAUAAGGUAUUGGACCAGGCAAGCAAAUCACUAAAGGAGCAGCAACUGACUUCCGACUGUCGUAAAAUAUCUCCAAAGGCUCUUCAGGAGUUAUAACACAUACAUUGUCACAUUUUCUUUCAACAACCAGUUCUCCUUGGUUCAAAAGUCCUUGAAUAUCAUCUUUCACUUUCUGACAACCCUAGGGGUUCAGAAGGCACUCGUUGCAGCCAUCAUGAUCAUGUUUAAAGAGGUUUACUUUGCAUAACUUGGCAUGUAAUGGGACCAAAGGUGUUCGGAUUUGUUGAACGUCGAGAAUAUGGUGAGUCUCUUGGCAAUCUUCGACCAUGUUGACAGUUGCAGCACCAUGGUUUGGCAAUGGAUUGGUUUGAAUAUUUGGUGCUGAGUCUGUGAAGGUUAUCUUCUUUUCUUUGAUUAGCCUCUGGACUACAUACUUAAAGGCAUAACAACUUUCAAUAUUAUGACCUGGGGCCCCUUGAUGGAAAUCACAAGUCUGAUCAGGUCUGUACCAUGCUGGCAGCCUUUCUGGUACUGGAGGAGGAGGCCUGGUUUGAACCAAGUUAUUUCUGAGUAAUCCUGGAAGUAACUCUGCAUAGGUGACGGGGAUUGGGUCAAAUUGCAUUCUUUGUGGUCGAGUUUGCUGUUGUUGAUAGGGAUAUGGGGGAUUUUGUUGAUAGGGUUGUUGUUGGUAUGGACGUUGCUGGUAUGGUUGUUGGGGAUAUUGUUGAGGGUAUUGUGGGAAUUGAGGCUGGCUAUUUGGGGGAUGAAUAAUAUUGGCAGCAGGUGUGAUGGCAGCAAUGUGUUGAUAGGUUGGAUAAGUUUGCUGAGACCUUCCUUGGGCCACCAUAAUAACCUCAUGUUCUUUCUUUCUCGGGAUGUGGUUGCCAUAUUUCUUGGUUCAACUGGUAGAAGCUCCAUUUUUUACUAAACAUCCUUCUCGGACUCCUUCUUCCAAUUGCACACCCAUGCCAACCAUUUCAGCAAAGUUCUUGGGCGUACUUCCGACCAUCUUCUCGUAGUAGAACUGACUGAGAGUUUUUAAGAAGAGUUUGGUCAUUUCCUUCUCUUCUAUACGUGGGCUGACUUGGGCAGCAACAUCCCUCCACCGCUGAGCAUACUCUUUGAAUGUUUCUUUGACCCCCUGAGUCAUGGCCUGAAUAUCACUUCGGUCUGGAGCCAUAUCUACAUUGUAAUUGUAUUGUUCCACAAAAGCUUCACACAGAUCAUGGAAAGUUUGGAUCUUUGUUUUGUCCAGAUUCAUGUACCACUUUGAGGCUGGACUAGCCAAGCUCUCUUGGAAGUAAUAAAUAAGGACCUGAUCGUCCUUAGCAUACGCGGACAUCCUUCUUGCAUACAUUGUCAGAUGUUCCUCAGGGCAGGAGUUCCCUUUAUACUUUUCAAAAUCUGGGACCUUGAACUUAUGGGGUAUCUGGACGUUUGGCACCAAACAGAGGUCAUAAGCAGUUUUUCCAAAUCUUUCUUUUCCGCGGAGAGCUUUCAUCUCACGGUACAUCUCGUCAUACUUCUCUUGUAAAUCCUCCACUUGACCAUAGGCCUUCAUACUCCUUGAAUGGAAGAUGGGUUCUUCAUUUUGUGGAGCAGUGUGAAUCAUAGGUGUCGAGUAAGUCAUGACAACUGGGGGAGCUCUUACAGGAGGCGGAGGGACAUGAGUUGCCUGAUGAGUAGGCAUCUGAGCUUCACAAGCAAUGGGGCGGAGUAUUUCGCCAGCAGUAAAAGGCGGGAACCAAGGCACGGAGAGUUGUGGAGCAGAGUGUGUCGGAGUGUCGGCACAUAUUGUCCAUUCAGGGAUGGCAGAGGAAGAUGCUUCAGCCUGAGUAUUGGUGGGAGGUGGACGAGCUUAUGUUUGUGCAUGAAUUUGUGCUUGAGCUUGUGCUAGAGCAUGAGCCUGAGCCUGAGCCUGAGCUUGCUCUUGGGUCCGCAUAUCUGCCAUCGUCUUCAUCAUUUCAACCAUUUCGUCCAUCUUAGUCUGCAUUGCUGCCACUUCUUCACAGAGCGCCCGAUUCUCUUGCUCGAGAAAAUCCAUCUUUCUCUUAACAGUUGCACGAGUGUAAUGAGUACGAGUAGACUUGUAGUGGAUGCGUGGUGCCACCUUUGAAACGAGCUGACCUUUGAUUGGAGAAGAAAAUUUGUGUGAGACUUGGAUUUGAGACUAUGAAAUGCAAGAUGAUGCAUGAUAUGCUUAUGCAAAAAUAGACACAUUUUUUUUCGAAGGACUUAUAAAAGCUAUUUUGUAAACAUUAUAAAGAGAUAGAGGAUAAACUUAUAAAUAAAAACAAGAUAAUUCCCUUUUUACAAACUGAGCCAAGGGAUAGACUCCAAAGUUCAUAAAAGAAAGCGAAAACAGAAAAGAUAAGAACAUUUUGGGAAAUUCUUGAGCCCCUGAAGUAGACUACUCCUCGGAAUCUGAAUGCGCGUCCUUGAAAAAGUCCCAACGCUCCUUUGCGCUGAUAAAUUGUGCGAGCCUUGUGCUCUGAGCUUGGAUCUGAGCAUCUUUUUUAACUAUUUGUUGGUUUUGCUUGCGAAUCUCAUGAUCCUGUUGUUCUAUUUUACCACUCAUAGUUUCCAUCUUGAGCAUAGCUUCAUCAUACUUUCUUUUCCAAAUGGCACCUACACAGUUUGACUCAGCCAAUUCCUCUUGACACUCUCCCACGGUCUCAGGAGCCAAGGGUAAGGAUGGUGCUGGGGUAGUUGAAGAUAGGUAUCUUGGGAGGUGAUAGGGUAGGACCAGACUUGAAGCUCUAUUAAUGACCCAUUGAGUGUGAGAUCCUUGUGAAAAGUCUGAUCUCUUCGCCAAUUGGCUUCUGCUAAGUCUGCGAAUAGCACGCCAAGCCUGAACAAAUUUUCCUCUCUUGUUUGUGGGAUCUUCAUGGUUAAAGUAGAAUUCACCCUCUAAGUAGAUGCUAUCCGGUUUAGUUUCCAUUGGGCAUCCAAACUGACGUUUGGCAAGGAUAGGGUUGUAACUGAUUCCUCCUUGCAUACCGAGAAGGGGUACGUUUGAGUAUUCUCCACAACUGACAAUGAUGUUUCUGAAGUUAUGGGUGGCGUGAUACCAGGCUAUGUCAGAUGGAGUGAGGGACAUGAUUCUUUUAGACCAAGAGAGAUUUCUUGGAUUGGCUUGAAAGGAAUGGGUUUGGGGUAAAUGAGAGGUAAACCAUUUGUAUAGUAAAGGUGCACAACCGAGGAUAGCCCCACGACCUACCUGGUUCCUAUCGUGUAUGGAAUGGUACAUAUCGGCUAACAAUGUGGGGACAGGGUUCUUUGUGAGGAAGAUUUGAAUGGCAUGGAUGUCAACAUAAUUAUCAACAUUUGGGAACAGUACAAGGCCGUAAAUGAGUAAGGCUAGGAUGGAGUAAAAGGCGUUGACAUUGUUUACUUCGGCGAAAUCAGAGGCUUGCUGGUAAAGGAAUUUGGCGGGUAGGCUUGGAAGAUUUCCUUUGAUGGUGAGUUUUGUUUUUAUGAGAGAGGUUUCAAGAUGGAGAGCAUCUGCAAUAGUGGCGGCUUUUGGAAUGGGUUCAAGGCCGGUAAAUGGUACUUCGUCAAGCACUGGUAGGCCAACUAAGUAGGAGUAUUCCUCAAGGGUGGGAGCAAGUUGGUAGUCGGGGAAAGUAAAACAAUGGUAAGCAGGGUCAUAGAAUUGGACCAAGGUCUCCAAACAUCCUUUCUCAACAUUUGUCCAAAGGAUACCAAGCAGCCUCCCAUGACGAUCAUGAAAGUCUUCCGGACUAGCUACCUUAACUGCAAGAUCCCUUAAGUUCGUCAAAUCCAAUUUCUUGAAAGUAAACUUCCUAGUGUUUCUUCUCUCCAUCCCUUUGAUAUUUACAAAAAAUUAUAUAAGCUCUUCGAUAUUUUGAUGAAAAAAGUUUUAUGGAUGAAUGCAUGUAUGCAUGAUUAUGCUGUACAAAUGGUGAAAACAUGGUGAGGUUUUAGGUCCACAAUGAUGGAGUCAAAGGGUAAACACGCCAUUUGGUAAGGACUAUGGUUUCAUUUGUACCUGUAUCACGGGUUCUACCAAGUUCCCAGAGUCUUUAACCGCUUCCGAAUGUCAUCGGGUUACGGAAAUACUUCCGGUCCAACAACGUUCGUAAGAAAGUCUCGUCUGAGUGUAGUAUCGCGUAUCAACUAGACCAAGACUACUCUUGAUUAGCCACCGCACUACGUCCUAAAAGGCCAAGAUGGAUAAUGGUAACUAAAGGUCCUCAACUUCGACGGUCACUUGAAAAUACAACGCCAACACGACUACUCAUGCCAACAUAAAUUACUUCCAAGAUUCCUCCAUUGAGCGGGGUUAUACCACAUGAACCAAAACACGAGACUUGACUCUCGGAAUGGCACUUUGGUUAUACCACCAUCUUAUCUUAUGUUUCCCUCAAGCCCGGGUGUAGAACUUAUCUCACCACUCACGUUAAGGAAAAAAAGAAAGAAGAAAAGAGAACAUAUAUACCAGUAUUUCCAUCCUUUAUUUUUGUUUUUGUUUUAAGCAAGUUAGAGCGCAAAGAAUUAAAUAAAGCCAAGUUAGGCUCAACCCUCUUAAGGCUCCCCAGUGAAGUCGCCAUUUCUGUCGCGCCAUUUUUCGGACGUCAAAGGCCAUUUGAUUAGCUUUUGACUCACUUUUUAUCUCACGACUGAACAAAUUUUUUUUAAGGGGAAAAAGUUCCAAACCACCCAUUUUGAAGAGAUUUAGGGUUCGGGGGUUGGUUAUAUUUAGGGAAGGUAUUAGCACCCUAAAUAUUCGUAGUACUCUACGAGAACUGUAACACUCUAAUUUUUAUUUAAUUUUUUUUUUUAUUGUGUGGUGUCUUUUAUUUGAUUUUGGUGAUUUAUGUGGUGUAUAUAUAAUUAUUAUAUGAUUAUUUUAUUAAAUAAUUAAAAUAGGAGAAUAAUAGGAUUAAUUAGAAUUUGGGGGUUAUGAAAUAAUUAGUAUAGUUAGUAGGGAGUUAAUUGCUAAUUAAGGAGUGGGGGAGGUUACACUUUGGGAGUUAAGGAAAGAAAAACGGAGAAAACGUUUUACGUGAAAACAGUCAAGUUUUGGGAGAAAAGCUAGUGCAAGGGAGAGGAGCUUAGGAACCAUUUUCUGCUGUGUUUAUUCUGCAAUUCCAAGGUAAGGGUGAGGUUUACCGCAAUUAUAUAGAUUCUGAAUGUUGAUUUUGUUCUAACAGGUUUAUGUGAGGAUUGGGAGAAAUUAUGUUUUUGUUGAUUAAGGAGUUUUGGGUGUAGGAAUCAUGGAAUUGAGGGUAGAAAUGGGUUCUGGGUGCAUAAAACCUUUCAUUGCAUAUCUGUAAACUAAUUUGGGGAGUGAAUUGAGGAAAAAUGGGAUUUUUGGGAAAAACCUGCAUUCUGCCCGUACAGAAGUUCAUCGCUCGCCUCGCGAGUAGCCAUUGCUCGCCAUAGCGAGUGAACAACUUCAUCGCUCGCCUCGCGAGUGAUACAGCUCGCCAUGGCGAGUAGCCUUGUGAAAAUCUGGAUUUUGAAAAUGUUGUUAUAAGCCGUAUUUUGGGUAGUUUCGUGUACCUAGAUGAUUUUUAAGAGGACUAGAGCAAGUUUUAAGUUUAAAAGAUGAUUAGGGAGCUUAGAAUUGAGGUUUGAGUGAGAAAAAUGUCAUUUUUCCCAAGAGCACCAUAUUUUUGUUCGCCUCGAGUUCGCCUCCAACUCGCCAUGGCGAGUACCUGUUUUUCUGAGCUCGCCAUAGCGAGUAGAUGAGCUCGCGAGGCGAGCUGCCCAGUUUUUGGUUGGUUGAUUUCUGUUGUUGUUUGGAUGGUUUAAUUUGAUGAAUUAUUGCAUGGAUUGUAUACUGAUAUGUACUUUCUUGGAUGUUUUGGUUGGUUUUGAUGAAUGGAUGCUGACUGAAUGAAUGUUGUACUUAAUUAAAUUCCUUAACGUUGUAAGUUGGUUGGUGAAUCAUAUAUAUGUAUAUGUCUAGGUUGGUUGGUAUGUAGAUAUACUCAAUGGGGAUUAGUUGCAUAAACAUAACAGUGGGAGAGCUUCGGCUCUGGAAUGCUUAGUCGUUCAAAGUGGUGGAGUACUAGUUACUCAAAGUGGUGUAGUGGUGAGGACUUAUGUCCUGUUGAGAAUGCUUUAACCAUUCGACAGCGGUGUGGGUCACGGCCCUGAUUUUUGGUACCACAUGCAUGGGUGUUUAGAGGAGUCUUAGUGGAGUGGUGAUAAGUUGUAUAUAUUGUUGAGAGGUGUAUGAAUUAAUAUUGUGAUAAGAUGCGAAAAUGAUGUUAUGUAAAUAAUAAUAAUGUUGAUGAUUUAUGAUAGGGUGUUAGAUUCAAUUGAUGUAUUCUUUAUCUAUAUUUUGUUGUGAAUCUCACCCCUUCUGCUUGAAAAUGUUGCCCUUCCUAUGGGUAACUUGCAGGUGAUCCUGAGUAGUUGGUGGUGGCUCAAGUGUCUAGGGCUCUGAUACGUGGGAUGGGAUUUCAUUGUUUAAAUUCAUUCUAUGUAUCAAAUUUUGGUUAAUGUUGUUGUAGCCCUAUGAUUGAUGGAAUAUUUUAUGUUGAGGCUUAAUGCCAAGAUUAUUUUGGAUAAUGGAGUUUAAUUUAAAGAAUAUUCCGCUGCAGUUUAAUGAAGGAUGUUGUUAAAUAGUUUUAAUCUAUUUAAGAAUUAUAUAUUUUGUAGUGUGACAUGCCGUUUAAUGUGGAACUCUGAUUUUAUAAUUAUAAUUAAAUUGAUUUUGGGAAACGGGGUGUUACAAGAACCUUUUGAUUUUAUUUAACUUUUGGUGCUAUAACUUGCUUGCUUUUAAAGAGAUGAAAAUGGAAUUGAAUGAUGAGUUGAAAAAAGAAAAGAAAAUUGAUUUUAAUUGAAGAGAAAAAAAAAGAAAAAUAUUUUUUAGUUGAAAGUUGAAAAGAAAAAAAAAGAAAAUUGUUUUUUAAUUGAGAAGAAAAAGAAAAUUGUUUUUUAAUUGACUUGGAAGGACAAGGUCCUCUGCCUACGUACCCGUGAGGGAUCAAAACCUCGUAGUUCGGGGUAGAAAUUGACGUUUGAUUUGUUUGGUGUUUUUUUAUAUGUUUUGAAAAAGGUUUUGAAAUAAAAAGCCAAAUGGCAAGUGAGAAUUGAUUUGUGUUUUUUUAGAUUGAAGAAAAUUGACUUGAAGUUGAAUUAGAAUUGAUUUGAAAUUUGAUUAAGAAAAAUAAAAAGACGGUCACUUGAUUUAAGAUCAAGGUUUACUGUGAAAAGUUCUUUUAUGAAUUUUUGAUAUUUGAAUGUUUUUGUUGUUUUUGAAUAAAGAUAUGAAAAUUAUAUAAGCAGAAUGAGAAAAAUGAAGUUAAGCUAAAUUGUGAAAUUAUUUUAACAUGGACCAGAAUAUUCUGGAGAAUAAUUAAGUUAAACAAAAAUAAAUAAAUAUUAACAUUUAAGUUUGGACCAGAGCACUCUGGAUUAACAAAAAUAUAAUAUUAACAGUUACUUUAGGACCAGAGCACUCUGGAUUAAUUUAAUUAACAAGGACCAGAUUGUUCUGGAGAAUAACUAAAUUAAGCAAGAAUAUAAUAUUAAGUUAAUUUUGGACCAGAGCACUCUGGAUUAAUUCAAUUAUUGAGGACCAGAUUGUUCUGAAGAAUAAUUAUAAUAUUAACAGUUAACUGAGGACCAGAGCACUCUGGAUUAACAGAUAGAGUGAGAAUUAAAAUGCAUGAAAAAGAAAUUAGAAAAAUGAGAUGUUGGGGGUGUGUGAGCAGUAAAGGGGGUGCAGAAAAUAAAACGAAAAGGAUUUGGGUCUUGGGUGAGGCCAGGCGCGUGUGGGCUUGGAAUAGACCGGUUCAGACCGGUUCCAAGAUUGAACCGGUUCAGUCUAGCGUUAUAAAUAGGUAGGCACCGGUUUCUUUAUUCAUUUUCACUUCAAACUUCUCUCUCUUCUCUUAUUUCUAGAGAGAGAGGCUCUGCCUUCUCUCUAGAAUCCUUCAUCUUCUCCGAUGAGAAGAGAGGUGGCCGGAGGUGGUUCCGGCGCGGUGGCCGGUGAGUUUUCACGGCGGCGCCACCGCGCCGGAGUCAAAAACUCCUCUUUUUUUGAUUUUUUUUUACCAAAAGAUUAACCUUUCCUUUCUCCUUUCUUUUUUGAAAACGUUUUUCUGAAAUGAGCUUUAACGGACCCUAGAUCUACAAAAAGGGUUACUACCUUUUUAUUGUUUUUUUUUCUUGAUCUGGAUCUGUGUUGGUUUGGUGGUGGUGUUUCACGGUUUUGAUGUUUGUGAAUGGGGUUUGAUUUGAGUAUGAUGGUUUGGAAUUAGGAUUGUGGAUACGUGAUUCUGAUGUUGUGUGCGUGAUUGAUGCUUAGUUGAUGCGUUUGGGUUUUUGUGAAGAUUUGAAUCGAAAGAGGUUGAAUGAAAAUUGUUUUGUUGGAAAGUUGAUUAGGGCUGGAAUUUUGUUAGUUGGUAGUGUGUGUUUGCUGGAAAAUUGUUCUCUGUAUUUUUAGUUUAUUGCUAUUUUUUGCUGUUGGGGCCCCUCCCUUUGUCUGUGUGCAGGUGGUUAUAUUUAUAGAGCUGAAUUUCUGUUGCUUGGAGAGGAACA
RNAcentral lists this long non-coding RNA (16614 nucleotides) under Medicago truncatula (barrel medic). Its description in RNAcentral is "long non-coding RNA (MTRU_LNC004616)". The record is from RNAcentral. Lineage: Eukaryota; Viridiplantae; Streptophyta; Magnoliopsida; Fabales; Fabaceae.